RNAcentral lists this long non-coding RNA (254 nucleotides) under Manihot esculenta (cassava). Its description in RNAcentral is "long non-coding RNA (MESC_LNC004577)". The record is from RNAcentral. Lineage: Eukaryota; Viridiplantae; Streptophyta; Magnoliopsida; Malpighiales; Euphorbiaceae.
UGGAUGCGAACUAACUGUGUUUAUUGAGGCAACCGUUUUCCCUUUAACCAAUAUGGUCAUCUCCUGUCGCAGUAGCUCCAGCUUUGUAUUGACUUCUUCUAUCUUGCUUAAUUCAUUGGAGGCGAUCGGUCCAGCACUUGCCAACGGUGUUUCUGAGGUAGAUUCUACACUGUGACCUUGAGUAUGUGAGAUGUGAGCAGUGUAUCUUGGCUUGAACGUCCCUGGAUUGUUGAAUUGCUUGUUUUUGCUCUUAA